This 253-nucleotide ribosomal RNA is filed under the name uncultured bacterium. Its description in RNAcentral is "partial 16S ribosomal RNA". It matches the Rfam family "Bacterial small subunit ribosomal RNA", at positions 524 to 776 of the family's 1533-position model. The record is from RNAcentral.
UACGGAGGGGGCUAGCGUUGUUCGGAAUUACUGGGCGUAAAGCGCGUGUAGGCGGUUCCGCAAGUCAGGUGUGAAAGCCCAGGGCUCAACCCUGGAAGUGCACUUGAUACUACGGAGCUUGAGUACUGAAGAGGAGAGCGGAAUUCCCGGUGUAGAGGUGAAAUUCGUAGAUAUCGGGAGGAACACCAGUGGCGAAGGCGGCUCUCUGGGCAGAUACUGACGCUGAGACGCGAAAGCCAGGGGAGCAAAGCGG